This 465-nucleotide ribosomal RNA is filed under the name uncultured bacterium. RNAcentral describes it as "partial 16S ribosomal RNA". It matches the Rfam family "Bacterial small subunit ribosomal RNA", at positions 338 to 795 of the family's 1533-position model. The record is from RNAcentral.
CCUACGUGCGGCUGCAGUGGGGAAUAUUGCUCAAUGGGCGAAAGCCUGACGCAGCGACGCCGCGUGAGGGAUGAAGGUCUUCGGAUCGUAAACCUCUGUCAGCAGGGAAGAACGGUCACUGUGCUAAUCAGCAGUGAAUUGACGGUACCUGCAAAGGAAGCACCGGCUAACUCCGUGCCAGCAGCCGCGGUAAUACGGAGGGUGCGAGCGGUAAUCGGAAUUACUGGGCGUAAAGCGCUCGUAGGCGGUAUGUCAAGUCAAGGGUGAAAUCCCCGCGCUCAACGUGGGAACUGCCUUUGAAACUGGCAAACUGGAGUGUGGGAGAGGAUAGUGGAAUGCCAGGUGUAGGAGUGAAAUCCGUAGAUAUCUGGAGGAACAUCAGUGGCGAAGGCGACUAUCUGGCACAUAACUGACGCUGAGGAGCGAAAGCGUGGGUAGCAAACAGGAUUAGAUACCCUAGUAGUC